AUUGAACGCUGGCGGCAGGCCUAACACAUGCAAGUCGAGCGGAUGAAGGGAGCUUGCUCCUGGAUUCAGCGGCGGACGGGUGAGUAAUGCCUAGGAAUCUGCCUGGUAGUGGGGGAUAACGUCCGGAAACGGGCGCUAAUACCGCAUACGUCCUGAGGGAGAAAGUGGGGGAUCUUCGGACCUCACGCUAUCAGAUGAGCCUAGGUCGGAUUAGCUAGUUGGUGGGGUAAAGGCCUACCAAGGCGACGAACCGUAACUGGUCUGAGAGGAUGAUCAGUCACACUGGAACUGAGACAUGGUCCAGACUCCUACGGGAGGCAGCAGUGGGGAAUAUUGGACAAUGGGCGAAAGCCUGAUCCAGCCAUGCCGCGUGUGUGAAGAAGGUCUUCGGAUUGUAAAGCACUUUAAGUUGGGAGGAAGGGCAGUAAGUUAAUACCUUGCUGUUUUGACGUUACCAACAGAAUAAGCACCGGCUAACUUCGUG
Molecule: ribosomal RNA, 484 nt
Filed under: uncultured bacterium
Lineage: Bacteria
Description: partial 16S ribosomal RNA
Rfam family: Bacterial small subunit ribosomal RNA
Source: RNAcentral